RNAcentral lists this ribosomal RNA (510 nucleotides) under uncultured bacterium. RNAcentral describes it as "partial 16S ribosomal RNA". It matches the Rfam family "Bacterial small subunit ribosomal RNA", at positions 28 to 507 of the family's 1533-position model. The record is from RNAcentral.
GACGAACGCUGGCGGCGUGCUUAACACAUGCAAGUCGAACGAAGAGCGAUGGACGCUUGCUUCUCUCAAUCUUAGUGGCGAACGGGUGAGUAACGCGUAAUCAACCUGCCCUUCAGAGGGGGACAACAGUUGGAAACGACUGCUAAUACCGCAUACGAUCUAAUCUCGGCAUCGAGGAUAGAUGAAAGGUGGCCUCUACAUGUAAGCUAUCACUGAAGGAGGGGAUUGCGUCUGAUUAGCUAGUUGGAGGGGUAACGGCCCACCAAGGCGAUGAUCAGUAGCCGGUCUGAGAGGAUGAACGGCCACAUUGGGACUGAGACACGGCCCAGACUCCUACGGGAGGCAGCAGUGGGGAAUCUUCCGCAAUGGACGAAAGUCUGACGGAGCAACGCCGCGUGAGUGAUGACGGCCUUCGGGUUGUAAAGCUCUGUUAAUCGGGACGAAAGGCCUUCUUGCGAAUAGGGAGAAGGAUUGACGGUACCGGAAUAGAAAGCCACGGCUAACUACGUG